RNAcentral lists this transfer RNA (58 nucleotides) under Physaloptera rara. RNAcentral's name for it is "tRNA-Ala". Lineage: Eukaryota; Metazoa; Nematoda; Chromadorea; Rhabditida; Physalopteridae. The record is from RNAcentral.
GUGUUUAUAUUAUAUAUUAUAUUAUAUUUAUUUAGCAAUUAAAAGAAGAGUUGACACG